GAGGAAAGUCCGGGCUCCAUAGGGCAGGGUGCCAGGUAACGCCUGGGGGGGAAACCCACGACCAGUGCAACAGAGAGCAAACCGCCGAUGGCCCGCGCAAGCGGGAUCAGGUAAGGGUGAAAGGGUGCGGUAAGAGCGCACCGCGCGGCUGGUAACAGUCCGUGGCACGGUAAACUCCACCCGGAGCAAGGCCAAAUAGGGGUUCAUAAGGUACGGCCCGUACUGAACCCGGGUAGGCUGCUUGAGCCAGUGAGCGAUUGCUGGCCUAGAUGAAUGACUGUCCACGACAGAACCCGGCUUAC
This 302-nucleotide RNase P RNA is filed under the name unidentified bacterium SM-A05. Its description in RNAcentral is "partial RNAase P". It matches the Rfam family "Bacterial RNase P class A", at positions 43 to 352 of the family's 367-position model. From Rfam's summary of the family: Ribonuclease P (RNase P) is a ubiquitous endoribonuclease, found in archaea, bacteria and eukarya as well as chloroplasts and mitochondria. Its best characterised activity is the generation of mature 5'-ends of tRNAs by cleaving the 5'-leader elements of precursor-tRNAs. The record is from RNAcentral.